GGGUUAGUUUUGGGCCUCAAGGCCCAAUGGGCUUCGAACGUGAAGCCCAUUGACUUAAGUUGUAUGACAACUUAAUGACUAAUAAUUCACAAAGGCCCAAAUAGCCUAAUAAAACCUUAUGGCCGGCCAUAUUGAUAAAGGAGUGGGUUUUGGACUUAUUACAAGUUUGUCACUCCAAUGAAGGUAGGUAUAAAUAUGACUUUAUAGCCUUUUCUUCAUUAGGGUUUUCUUUUGGAGAAAAGAUGAGAACACAAUGUCUCUCCCUUUCUCUCUAGGAGGCCGGCCCCCUUGGAGGAGAUUAGCUAGCAAUCUUCCCUCCUCCAAGGUCACUCAUCUCUUCUUCGAGUUUCUCCUUGGUGUGGAAAAAUUAGAGGUUCUCAACUUUGGGAACUUGGAGAAUCCUUCCAACCAUCCUUAUCCAAGAAAUCCAUGGAGCUAAGAAGCAAGGAAUGAAGGCCCUCUCCUUGGGUGAUUAGCCUUUGCUUAUGCAAAGAGGAAUCAACAAAGGUAUAAGAUUUAUCAACUCACUUUGUUCUUGAGUUGAGUCUUGGUUCACCCUUCUACUUGGCUUUGAAUUUCAUGAGUAAUGUUUUGUUUUUUAGUGCAUACAAGCAUGAUUCCGCCUUAAUUGUUAAUUGCAUGCCAUAGAUGUUGCUCAAAUGAACAUGCCUUUCACAAAAUUUCCUUCAAGUGGUAUCAGAGCCUAGGUGUAGUAGUUGGUGAAUCCUUUUGGAUUUUGUAUUUUCAUAGUUUAUGAUUUGAAUGUUGUAAUUGUUACAAGCUUUAUUCUUGCUUCUUUGAAUGUAAAUUUUGUUAGAAAAUUUUCCAUCUCAAAUGUUGUAGAUGUAGUUCAUAUGAGCAUGAAUUUUGGAGCUAAAAUUUGGUGCCAUGUUUUUGGGGAAAUUCGGCCAAAUCCAAAUGGUGGAUUUUUGGGUUCAUGUUUGUCUUGUUAAAAGAGUUUUAAAGUGACUUUUGGAACCCCUAAGUGCCCUAGGAUGUUAACCCUCUUUUGUAUAGUGAAAAUUUGAGUUUUAUUGAGUGAAAACAUUCAUGGAGCUCUUAUGAGUUUUCAUGUGUGUUCUUCAGAGUUUUUGAAGUUCUUACCAAGAACAAAAAAGUUUGGUGUUUUGAUUCAAAGUGUUUGAUGUUAUGCAUAAAGUUUUGUUUAUGGUGGUUGGUGUGACUUUAUUAUAAUAAAUGGUAUGGCAUUUCAAUCAACACCCAUACCAAUCAACGUUUCCACCCAUCCCUUUCACCUUUUUCCACUCUUUAAAAUUUUGAAUUUUCACCAAACCUACUUCCCCCUUUUUCACUACCCAAACCGGCCACCCUAUAAAGUAGGGUACUUUUGGGGCUUUUAUGCAAUUACAUAAAGUUUUGAUACUUUUGUGUAUUUGUACUUUGACCCAAAAGUUUACGUUUUUACGUAAAGGCCCAAAAUCAGUAAAGGACAAAAUGUUUUGCUCCUUUAAUGAAGUUUUUGUAUUUUGAUGAAAUUUUUGGGUUCUAGUUGUAAUUACAUGAAGUAGUGGACUUUUGCGUUUUUACAAAGUGACCUCAAAAGUUUGUGUUUUGCAAUAUAGCCCAAUAGUUGAGGUUAUUGUUUUUCGGCCCAAAUUAGUUGAGAACAAAAUUGUUUUGUAUCUUUAAAUGAGAAUUGGAUUUUCAUUUCAUUUAGCUCCAUUUAAAUCAAUUCUAUGGAUACAAAAACCAAAUGAAAAUGUUGCAUUCAAGUUUAAUUAGUUUAAGCGUUAAUUAAUUAAAGAAAGGGUGAUUAUGAACCUAAGCCUACGAUAAUUGAGCUAUGUGAAAGGCCGUAGAUUAGAUUUUGGUUGUAAUUUGAUAUGAUCAAAUAUUGUAAAAGAGCAUAAGCUCUUCUUUACUUUAAAGUAAUUUGUUUUUUGAUCAAAUGUUCUAAAAGAGCAUAAGCUCUUCUUUACUUUGAAGUACUUCUUUCUUGCUUUAUUUGAUAUGCAUGAAAAUGAAGUAGAGGGUCCAACGCCUAAUAAGAAAACACGCCUUAAUGUGAUUAAACACGUAACUAAAAUCAAUCACCAUCCCUAGACCGAGAUUCAACACUAGGCUCGUGUUGGAUCGAAUCAAAGGUUCA
This 2110-nucleotide long non-coding RNA is filed under the name Malus domestica (apple). RNAcentral describes it as "long non-coding RNA (MDOM_LNC006670)". The record is from RNAcentral. Lineage: Eukaryota; Viridiplantae; Streptophyta; Magnoliopsida; Rosales; Rosaceae.